UGGAAAUCUUUCAUUCUGCACAAUGUUAUUC
This 31-nucleotide non-coding RNA is filed under the name Mus musculus (house mouse). Lineage: Eukaryota; Metazoa; Chordata; Mammalia; Rodentia; Muridae. The record is from RNAcentral.